CCUACGGGAGGCAGCAGUGGGGAAUAUUGGACAAUGGGGGGAACCCUGAUCCAGCCAUGCCGCGUGUGUGAAGAAGGCCCUCGGGUUGUAAAGCACUUUCAGUGAGGAAGAACGCCUGGUGGUUAAUACCCAUCAGGAAAGACAUCACUCACAGAAGAAGCACCGGCUAACUCCGUGCCAGCAGCCGCGGUAAUACGGAGGGUGCGAGCGUUAAUCGGAAUUACUGGGCGUAAAGCGCGCGUAGGUGGCUUGAUAAGCCGGUUGUGAAAGCCCCGGGCUCAACCUGGGAACGGCAUCCGGAACUGUCAAGCUAGAGUGCAGGAGAGGAAGGUAGAAUUCCCGGUGUAGCGGUGAACUGCGUAGAGAUCGGGAGGAAUACCAGUGGCGAAGGCGGCCUUCUGGACUGACACUGACACUGAGGUGCGAAAGCGUGGGUAGCAAACAGGAUUAGAUACCCUUGUAGUC
Molecule: ribosomal RNA, 465 nt
Filed under: Vreelandella stevensii
Lineage: Bacteria; Pseudomonadati; Pseudomonadota; Gammaproteobacteria; Oceanospirillales; Halomonadaceae
Description: partial 16S ribosomal RNA
Rfam family: Bacterial small subunit ribosomal RNA
Source: RNAcentral